Molecule: long non-coding RNA, 1456 nt
Organism: Corvus hawaiiensis (hawaiian crow)
Lineage: Eukaryota; Metazoa; Chordata; Aves; Passeriformes; Corvidae
Exons: 7
Source: RefSeq, a predicted model, not a curated record
ACAGGCUGAGAGAGUUGGGGCUGCUCAACCCAGAGAACAGAAGGCUCCAGGAGAUCUUCUAACACCGACCAGCACCUAAAGGAAUCCUACAGGAGCCUGAACAGCACACAGUGAAUUGUCACUGGCAUGGAACAUAAAUGGAAUUCAGUCAAGUUCCAACUUUAAAUGCCGGGUCUGAGGAGACUUCUUAAAUGUUUCCUUCUACCUUAGAAGACACAAAGCUCCUUGUUGCAAUGUUUUCUGUUAGUGACUGGAUACCUCCAGGGGCUAAUGAGGAGAUGUAAAACCACAGUGAACCCAGUGACCAUUUCAAAUCUAGGGAGGGAAAAUGAGAUAAUGAAGAAGAGAGAGGAAGACAAAGGGAAAAGGAUACUUCCGGAUAUUGCAAAGAUGUCUAAAUUUCACUACCAGAUUUCACUAGCAUGCUCAUCUAUUUCAUGUCAGCCAGAGUAGGUAAGCAGUUUUAAAUCUGAGAAGUAGUUUGUGGUCUCAAGCAGAGAAAGGGGAACUGAAUCAGGAAGAACAAAAGUUUCCAACACUGCAGAGCACCAGAUGCAGUGGUGGUGUCAAUCCUGACCAGCAGCGAUCCCAGGCUGAGACCUUCCUCGGAAUCUGACAGUCUGCAUUUCCUGAAUCAACAGGCCCAGGGCAGGGCUUGCUCUCACCACCCUUACUCAGGGAACUACCAUUGACUCAUAAUCCAGAUCCUGAAGUACUUCCAGUAACACAAAGACUUUGUACACUGCGUUUGGCUCCUGUGGGAACGGUCUGAGGUUUUCUGAAGACAAGACACUCACCCUAUCUUGUGAUUGUUUCAAUUCAUAUCCGAUCUCGAGCAAAAGGCUUUGUCUGAAGCUAUCAUGAAGUCACUAGCUGAGACUGCCAGAGGAUUUUUGUUGGACCUGAACUUCUCAGUAGUGGAAACAGCUCCUGACCGCUGAAUCACAGCAGUACAAGAGCAGAGCAGUUUUACUGUCUUAUCUCUUCUGCAGGCAAACAUUCUUUCUCCUACAGAUCACCAUAAGGCUAACAAAACCUUAUCAGCAUGACUAACACCAUAAUGUCUCGAUCCACUCAAUGGUAUAGAUAUUUUUUGUUCCAGCCCAUUGGAAUAUAUAAUUUCCUAAAAUUUAAAGCAAGUUUUGAUCAUGCAGUGCUCUACCAAGUGGAGUUAGAAACACCCAUGGCUUUGCUCUUGCCUUAUAGGUCUCAUCUUGCCCAUGUGCUUGUUUAUACUUUUUGUCACUUUUGUGACAGAUGUCUUCUAUCAAGCCUGUUCGGAGGCAGUCCUGCCCAUCUCAGUCUUCCUCUUACACCAGUAAGAGUUCUGCUGGUAAUUUCUCUGAUUUAGGCUCCUGAUAUCAAAUACAGCUAUAUGAAAAACAGAGACAAAAAUUUGAACUUCAGAUUCUUGGCUGAAGUAACACAACUUCAGUUGAAGCACAACUUCCUUAAU